UGCCAGCAGCCGCGGUAAUACGAAGGGAGCUAGCGUUGUUCGGAAUGACUGGGCGUAAAGGGCGUGUAGGCGGUCAAGCAGGUGAGAUGUGAAAUCCCCGGGCUCAACCUGGGAAUGGCAUUUCAAACGGCUUGACUUGAGUGCGGGAGGGGAAAGCGGAAUGGCCAGUGUAGCGGUGAAAUGCGUUGAUAUUGGCUGGAACACCAGAGGCGAAGGCGGCUUUCUGGCUCGCAACUGACGCUGAGGCGCGAAAGCGUGGGGAGCAAACAGGAUUAGAUA
This 279-nucleotide ribosomal RNA is filed under the name uncultured bacterium. Its description in RNAcentral is "partial 16S ribosomal RNA". It matches the Rfam family "Bacterial small subunit ribosomal RNA", at positions 506 to 784 of the family's 1533-position model. The record is from RNAcentral.